GCAUUAAUGGGGUAGUGGUAACCUGGGUCGUUGCCAUCCUUGGAUUGGUGUGUAUAUUCGACCCGCCGGGGGUUCGAUUCCCCCUUAAUGCA
Molecule: non-coding RNA, 92 nt
Organism: Termitomyces sp. T159_Od127
Lineage: Eukaryota; Fungi; Basidiomycota; Agaricomycetes; Agaricales; Lyophyllaceae
Source: the annotation of a GenBank genome assembly